RNAcentral lists this long non-coding RNA (651 nucleotides) under Ricinus communis (castor bean). RNAcentral describes it as "long non-coding RNA (RCOM_LNC003607)". Lineage: Eukaryota; Viridiplantae; Streptophyta; Magnoliopsida; Malpighiales; Euphorbiaceae. The record is from RNAcentral.
CGCUUCCCUCCUCUACAAAAGAACGAGCCCCGCGAGUUUAAAAUAAAUUAUAAUUAAAAAUACCUGGGGAGCAACACGAGGACUUCCCAAGAGGUCACCCAUCUUAGUACUACUCUCGCCCAAGCACGUUUAACUUCAGAGUUCUGAUGGGAUCCGGUGCAUUAGUGCUGGUAUGAUCGCACCCGUCAUACCUUCCCCGGUCUCGGUAUUUGACCGCUUACCUCCUCUACAAAAGAACGAGCCCCGCGAGUUUAAAAUAAAUUAUAAAGCACCGAUUAAAAAUACUUGGGGUGCAACACGAGGACUUCCCAAGAGGUCACCCAUCUUAGUACUACUCUCGCCAAAGCACGUUUAACUUCGGAGUUCUGAUGGGAUCCGGUGCAUUAGUGCUGGUAUGAUCGCACCCGUCAUACCUUCCCCGGUCUCGGUAUUUGACCGCUUCCCUCCUCUACAAAAGAACGAGCCCCGCGAGUUUAAAAUAAAUUAUAAUUAAAAAUACCUGGGGUGCAACACGAGGACUUCCCAAGAGGUCACCCAUCUUAGUACUACUCUCGCCCAAGCACGUUUAACUUCGGAGUUCUGAUGGGAUCCGGUGCAUUAGUGCUGGUAUGAUCGCACCCGUCAUACCUUCCCCGGUCUCGGUAUUUGACC